RNAcentral lists this unclassified non-coding RNA (335 nucleotides) under Hevea brasiliensis (rubber tree). Lineage: Eukaryota; Viridiplantae; Streptophyta; Magnoliopsida; Malpighiales; Euphorbiaceae. The record is from RNAcentral.
AAGAAUCAUUUGACCUUGGGAACGAUGCAACCGCCUUUCCUCAAAUUCUGAACCAUCAACGUCAUUUCAGUCCCUCGCCCUCAACUGAUUGUUCUGUUACUGCUACAUCUGAUCCAAUCUUUCUCAGUACUGCUGUUGACUCGAAGAUGCAUACUCAUUCUCCUAAGAAAUGUAUGUUUAAGGGAUGCUCUAAAGGUGCGAGGGGAGCAUCUGGAUUCUGUAUUGCUCAUGGAGGUGGGCAGAGGUGCCGUAAACCUGGUUGCAACAAGGGCGCUGAAAGCCGGACCGCAUAUUGCAAAGCUCAUGGAGGAGGGAGGCGGUGCCAACAACUUGGU